Molecule: non-coding RNA, 47 nt
Organism: Ictidomys tridecemlineatus (thirteen-lined ground squirrel)
Lineage: Eukaryota; Metazoa; Chordata; Mammalia; Rodentia; Sciuridae
Source: Rfam
UAAAAGCCUUUAUUAAAAGCCAAUACACAUAUUCAAAAUAAUGUUCU